ACCCACUGCCUGCUAAAAUGUUCUUUAGCAUCUACUGGCUGUUGACACUAUGUUGUGAAGGAAGGAUUUGAAAGCUGAGCUUUGACAGGAAGGAAGGAAACACAAGUUUCCUGGGGACCCGCAGUGGGGAAGGAAGAACUGACAAAGCAAGGAGACAGGGAAGACUUGGAGGAGAAAGCCAGGAGACUCCAUUAAAUUAAUUGGAUAAAUGAGGAAAUUAUUCACACAAGAAGAAUAAGGAACAAUGAGAGGAGAAAACAACAACAACAUGGAAAGAUUGGGGAUAUCGCUGAUUCUCAGCAACAACUGGAGCCAGAACGAGACCCUCAGACAAUGCUAGUUCUCUCUCUCCAGCAUUCAGUUCAGUUUCUCUGCCCUAGGUUCAUUCUCUCAGCCCAUGCUGACUUCCAUCAUAGGGAGAGAAACAUGGAUGCCACCAACAGAAAACCCUUCACCCCAUGCCUUAGUCUUCAGCAUAGAUUUACUUCCCAGUCUUAGUAAGAAAAUCCCAGAAAUAUUCUGAAUGGAUCAUCCAGGUUCAAGGGCCCGCCCAUCAGCCCAGCAACCACACCUAAAGGAGGGGCAUUCCUCCAGUAUCCUGGGUUAGAGGAGGAGAGAACAGUUACCAAAAGAUGGAAAGUUCUUCCCCAGAAGAUAGGAGGAAAAUGGUGUGCCACUGGCAAAGUACGUGCUGAAGAUAAAACCAAAACGGGUCAAAGCCCUAGAAUCCAGUCUACCAGACCAUAUUUGGAGAUAAAGGCCUUUAAAGAGAGAAUGAAGUUAAAAUGAGGCCAUAAUCCAAUCUGAUAGGAGUCCUUUGAAGAAGAGGAGUCUAGGACACAUAGAGUCAUUAAAGUCAUAGGCACCAAGAAAAGACCACCAUGCAUGGGCACAGCAAGAAGGCAGCCAGCUUCAAGCCAAGGGGAGAAGCCCCAGAAAAAACCAAACCUGCCCACACCCUGUUGUAAGACCUUUAGCCUCCAGAACUGUGAGAAUAUAAAUUUCCAUUGUUUAAGCCACCUGCUCUGUGGUAAUUUGUUUUACCACAAUUUGUAUAUUCAUUACUCUGGUGAUAGACAUUUGGGUUGCUUCUAGUUUUGGACUAUUACAAAUAAAGCU
Molecule: long non-coding RNA, 1119 nt
Organism: Sciurus carolinensis (gray squirrel)
Lineage: Eukaryota; Metazoa; Chordata; Mammalia; Rodentia; Sciuridae
Exons: 3
Source: RefSeq, a predicted model, not a curated record